This is a long non-coding RNA of Nicotiana tabacum (common tobacco), 697 nucleotides long. RefSeq lists it as uncharacterized. The record is from RefSeq and is a predicted model, not a curated record. Lineage: Eukaryota; Viridiplantae; Streptophyta; Magnoliopsida; Solanales; Solanaceae.
GAAAUUUCCCCUCCUAACCCUAGAGACCUCCUCACACUUCAUCUCAUUCAUUCUCUGUCCCGCCGCUGCCGGAAAUCGCCCCACGGCAGUGGCCCUCGCCAAACCACCCCAUAUUUUCACCAAAAAAAUCCUUAGCCCUCCCCUAUAACUAAUCCCCCAUUAAUUUUCCCAAAAUCCUCGCCAAGGUUGCCGAAUUUCAAAUCUGAGAUUACAGAAAACCUAAAGUUAUCUCUUUAUGAUGUUUUCUUUUACUCGUUUUGGACUCGAACUUACUAGAAUCAAUUGCUCUUAACACGAGCAAUCGAUAAACACUAGUUUGAGCCCAUUUCUAUGUCGCCGAGGUCUAGUCGAACACUACCUAUCGGUCAAGUUCCAGUCACCCAAUUUUUGGAGUUCGAAGUUCCUUACUAAUGAUGUUUGCAAGGCUUGAACAUUUGUUGGAGGAUCGACGGUAGAAUUAAUGUGAUUAUGUAAUCCCUCCAAGACUAAAUCUGAUGAGAAGCAUGUAAGGUAAUAAGAACAUAUGAAGUUUGGAUAGCUUUAGGUCAUUUGUUUGAAGAUCAUUUAGAAUCAAAAGCAUGCAAAUCUGUUAUUUAUUCUAGAUUUUAGUAACAUUGAAUGUAAUCGUAACUGGUAUUAUAAUCUGUUAGAAAAUUACAGGUGUGGCAAUAUUCUUCUUCAAUUCUGUUCUUUAGUA